Molecule: transfer RNA, 72 nt
Filed under: Capra hircus (goat)
Lineage: Eukaryota; Metazoa; Chordata; Mammalia; Artiodactyla; Bovidae
Also listed under: 1 other name
Rfam family: tRNA
About the family: Transfer RNA (tRNA) molecules are approximately 80 nucleotides in length. Their secondary structure includes four short double-helical elements and three loops (D, anti-codon, and T loops).
Source: Rfam by way of RNAcentral
UCUCUGGCUGUCCAGGGGUUAGGACUCCAUGCUUUCACUGUGGAGGGUCGGGUUCAAUCCCUGGUCAGGGAA